UACAGAGGGUGCAAGCGUUGUUCGGAAUUACUGGGCGUAAAGCGCGUGUAGGCGGCGUCGUUAGUCGGAUGUGAAAGCCCUCGGCUCAACCGAGGAAGUGCAUCCGAUACUGCGAGGCUUGAGUGUCGGAGGGGGUGGCGGAAUUCCCGGUGUAGAGGUGAAAGUCGUAGAUAUCGGGAGGAACACCUGUGGCGAAGGCGGCCACCUGGACGACAACUGACGCUGAGACGCGAAAGCGUGGGUAGCAAACAGG
Molecule: ribosomal RNA, 253 nt
Filed under: uncultured bacterium
Lineage: Bacteria
Description: partial 16S ribosomal RNA
Rfam family: Bacterial small subunit ribosomal RNA
Source: RNAcentral